RNAcentral lists this ribosomal RNA (618 nucleotides) under uncultured bacterium. Its description in RNAcentral is "bacterial SSU rRNA". The stretch from base 1 to 524 matches the Rfam family "Bacterial small subunit ribosomal RNA", at positions 338 to 873 of the family's 1533-position model. The record is from RNAcentral.
CCUACGGGAGGCAGCAGUGGGGAAUAUUGGGCAAUGGAGGAAACUCUGACCCAGCGACGCCGCGUGCGGGAUGAAGGCCUUCGGGUUGUAAACCGCUUUCAGUAGGGAAGAAGCGAAAGUGACGGUACCUACAAAAGAAGCACCGGCUAACUAUGUGCCAGCAGCCGCGGUAAUACAUAGGGUGCAAGCGUUGUCCGGAAUUAUUGGGCGUAAAGAGCUCGUAGGUCGUUUGUUACGUCGGAUGUGAAAACCUGAGGCUCAACCUCAGGCCUGCAUUCGAUACGGGCAAACUAGAGUUUGGUAGGGGAGACUGGAAUUCCUGGUGUAGCGGUGGAAUGCGCAGAUAUCAGGAGGAACACCAAUGGCGAAGGCAGGUCUCUGGGCCAAUACUGACACUGAGGAGCGAAAGUCUGGGGAGCGAACAGGAUUAGAUACCCUGGUAGUCCAGACCGUAAACGGUGGGCACUAGUUGUGGGAACCUUCCACGGUUUCUGCGACGCAGCUAACGCAUUAAGUGCCCCGCCUGGGGGAGGUACGAGUCGCGAGAAGUUAAACGUACAAAUAGAAGUUAAGUACGGCGUUGAGUACGUUGCCGAACGGCGACGACGAGGGAGGAGG